RNAcentral lists this long non-coding RNA (452 nucleotides) under Phaseolus vulgaris (common bean). Its description in RNAcentral is "long non-coding RNA (PVUL_LNC003129)". The record is from RNAcentral. Lineage: Eukaryota; Viridiplantae; Streptophyta; Magnoliopsida; Fabales; Fabaceae.
UGACAGAGUUUCUUUUCUAUUCAAAAUUCAAUGUCCAUUACAGUUCGAUGCCACCAUUGCAUGGCAUAGUCUAAAAACUCUAGGGAAGUUAACUUAACCUUUUGGUCCUUUUCGACCUCAUACACAUUUGUUCUACCUUACCUUCCCAUCUUGAAUACAAGUUAGGGUGACUUUUCCCACUAAAACUAGGUAACUUUACAAAAGGAAAAUAAGGCUUUGGUGGUUGUGGUUGGUGUUGGUGGUGCCUAGUUUCCACAUUUUGCACUCUCCAUUCUUCUUCUUCUUCUUCUUCUUCAUUCCUAUAAUGCAUAUGAUACAUUGUAGUGCAUCUAGGUCCCCGCCUCCUUUCUCUAGCUAGCCUCUCUUGAGUAUCUUCUAGCCUUUGCAUUCUUUUCACUAGUUGCCUUAUUUCCUCUUCUUUGUGGACCAAGCUCGUCUUGGCAUUUGCAAGC